UUCCAACAGGUGUGCAGGUCCUAAAUGGAAGCAGAGGGGCUUCGGAUCGACUCCGAGCUCCGAUACGCUUCUUCUGCUUUAUAGACUCAAGACUCGACUUAGACUCUGGGUCUCUGUCUUUAUCUGCUUUGGUCAGGAGUGAAAUUAAGUCUGUAUGUAAGUCACAGACCACAACUCUCGACAGGUGAGCCGGAUCAUGAGGUGUUUUUUUUUUUUUUUUUUUAUUUUUUUUUUAGCUUUGUACAAUUACAGUUUGUUCACUGAUUAAUUGCUUAUGACAAUCUGUUAAUGCUGGGUGAUAUGCCUCAAGCCCUUCUUGUUGUUUCUGAACAAAAUGAAUGUUCCUCUUGCGUCCCAUUUACAAACAGUAAUUUCUAGUUAUUCAAAGUAAAAACUUCACUGCGUUUCACCCUUUUUUUUAUUACAUACCUUAAGUUUAAUACUGAGACAUGCGUAAAACAAAUGUUUUAAAGAAGAUUUCAAUCACGACGUCCUAAUAAUCUUGCAAAUCUUCCGACUCUGAGAAGAAAAGGUCUCCACAGCCAACUCUGUAGUUAAUGACUGGAAAGUUUAAAUGUAGACACUGGCAGUUCUUCAAAAUAAAGCGCUUCCUGCUUGAUUUAUUCAGCUGUUCAUCACAGCAAUCCAUGUUUAAAUUGCUAAUGGGUUAGAUAUUGAGCUGUUCAAAGUAGAUUAUUAGUAUUUUUGCCUGUUGGAUUAAAUGUCAGAGGAAACUGUUGAAUUUCCACGUUCAGGAUUUUAUUUCCUAAUCUACAGUGGUGUGUUAUAAGUUGAGUUAAUUUCACUGCUGAAUUUGGAAACCUUGUGUUCUUAUUUUUCUAGAGUAAAAAAAAAAAAAAA
Poecilia latipinna (sailfin molly) is the source of this 861-nucleotide long non-coding RNA. RefSeq lists it as uncharacterized. The transcript is spliced from 2 exons. NCBI's taxonomy places the organism in Eukaryota, Metazoa, Chordata, Actinopteri, Cyprinodontiformes, Poeciliidae. The record is from RefSeq and is a predicted model, not a curated record.